CGCCCCACUGCACGAGCUGAUCAGCAUGCCGCGUGCAGGAUGAAGGCCUUCGGGUUGUAAACUGCUUUUGUACGGAACGAAAAAGCUUCUCCUAAUACGAGAGGCCCAUGACGGUACCGUAAGAAUAAGCACCGGCUAACUACGUGCCAGCAGCCGCGGUAAUUA
This 165-nucleotide ribosomal RNA is filed under the name uncultured Delftia sp. Its description in RNAcentral is "partial 16S ribosomal RNA". The stretch from base 33 to 165 matches the Rfam family "Bacterial small subunit ribosomal RNA", at positions 401 to 525 of the family's 1533-position model. The record is from RNAcentral. Lineage: Bacteria; Pseudomonadati; Pseudomonadota; Betaproteobacteria; Burkholderiales; Comamonadaceae.